UACGUAGGGGGCAAGCGUUGUCCGGAUUUAUUGGGCUUAAAGGGUGCGUAGGUGGCUGAUUAAGUCAUGGGUGAAAGCCCGCAGCUCAACCGUGGAAUUGCCUGUGAUACUGAUUGGCUUGAGUGCGGGUGAGGCAAGUGGAAUUGCUGGUGUAGAGGUGAAAUGCAUAGAUACUAGCAAGAACACCGGUUGCGAAGGCAGGUUGCUAGCCCGCUACUGACACUCAGGUACGAAAGCGUGGGGAGCAAACAGG
RNAcentral lists this ribosomal RNA (253 nucleotides) under uncultured bacterium. RNAcentral's name for it is "partial 16S ribosomal RNA". It matches the Rfam family "Bacterial small subunit ribosomal RNA", at positions 524 to 776 of the family's 1533-position model. The record is from RNAcentral.